RNAcentral lists this transfer RNA (55 nucleotides) under Plateros sp. UPOL A00473. RNAcentral describes it as "partial tRNA-Ser". Lineage: Eukaryota; Metazoa; Arthropoda; Insecta; Coleoptera; Lycidae. The record is from RNAcentral.
AUAAACAUGUUUUAUGCUUUUUUAAAAGUUAGAAGCUUUUUUAAAAUAUUUCUUU